RNAcentral lists this long non-coding RNA (559 nucleotides) under Rattus norvegicus (Norway rat). RNAcentral describes it as "long non-coding RNA NONRATT003161". The record is from RNAcentral. Lineage: Eukaryota; Metazoa; Chordata; Mammalia; Rodentia; Muridae.
AGCAGCCCCCCUCCCCACUGCCUCCCCAGCUCUCAGUGACCCCGACUGUCUCCUGACUUAGCCGAGUUCAAUCUCAUCCCUCCCAGCAGCUCCCCUUCCACCCCCCGGGGAACUGAAGAUUGUCCUGGCCGCGACCUGAGACCUCCAUGAGUGGAGGGAAGAGUGAUCUAUGUCUCUUCCCCCAGCAGCUGGGACCAGUCCUAGCCCCGCCCCCAACCCCUUUCCCUUGGGGAGUUGGGGAAUUCCUGCCAAGCACCUUGAACGGGAGGGGUCCUUCAAGUGGGCCGGGCUGGGGUCCAGCGGGGGUGGGGGAGGUUCCUGCUCUGUCCCUGCUGGGUCCCACCCAGUCUUGUCCUCCCAUCCUCUCAUCUAUUCCCCACCCCGCUGGAGACGGAAGAUCUUUUAUUUUCUAUUAUUUAUAACCUCAGACUUGGGCCCCCUGUUCUUCUCCAUUAACUUGAGUGUCCUGUGUGAGAGACCGACAGACAGAUGCCUCAAGGACUUUUACUUUUUAUUACAUAAAAAAUUUAAAAAAAAUAAAAAAAUAAAAUUUUAAACU